GAGAAGAACGUAGCGAAAUGCGAUACGUAAUGUGAAUUGCAGAAUUCAGUGAAUCAUCGAGUCUUUGAACGCACAUUGCGCCCCCUGGUAUUCCGGGGGGCAUGCCUGUCCGAGCGUCAUUGCUGCCCUCAAGCACGGCUUGUGUGUUGGGCCUCCGUCCUCCUCCCAGGGGACGGGCCCGAAAGGCAGCGGCGGCACCGCGUCCGGUCCUCGAGCGUAUGGGGCUUCGUCACCCGCUCUUGUAGGCCCGGCCGGCGCUUGCCGACACAUCAAUCUUUUUUCCAGGUUGACCUCGGAUCAGGUAGGGAUACCCGCUGAACUUAAGCAUAUCAAUAAGCGGAGGA
Molecule: unclassified non-coding RNA, 344 nt
Filed under: soil metagenome
Description: partial contains 5.8S ribosomal RNA, internal transcribed spacer 2, and large subunit ribosomal RNA
Rfam family: 5.8S ribosomal RNA (bases 3-119)
Source: RNAcentral